GAUGAACGCUGGCGGCGUGCCUAAUACAUGCAAGUCGAGCGAACGGACGAGAAGCUUGCUUCUCUGAUGUUAGCGGCGGACGGGUGAGUAACACGUGGAUAACCUACCUAUAAGACUGGGAUAACUUCGGGAAACCGGAGCUAAUACCGGAUAAUAUUUUGAACCGCAUGGGUCAAAAGUGAAAGACGGUCUUGCUGUCACUUAUAGAUGGAUCCGCGCUGCAUUAGCUAGUUGGUAAGGUAACGGCUUACCAAGGCAACGAUGCAUAGCCGACCUGAGAGGGUGAUUGGCCACACUGGAACUGAGACCCGGUCCAGACUCCUACGGGAGGCAGCAGUAGGGAAUCUUCCGCAAUGGGCGAAAGCCUGACGGAGCAACGCCGCGUGAGUGAUGAAGGUCUUCGGAUCGUAAAACUCUGUUAUUAGGGAAGAACAUAUGUGUAAGUAACUGUGCACAUCUUGACGGUACCUAAUCAGAAAGCCACGGCUAACUACGUG
This 497-nucleotide ribosomal RNA is filed under the name uncultured bacterium. RNAcentral's name for it is "partial 16S ribosomal RNA". It matches the Rfam family "Bacterial small subunit ribosomal RNA", at positions 28 to 507 of the family's 1533-position model. The record is from RNAcentral.